UACUCUGUAGAGUCUGCAUAUCAAUAAGCGGAGGAAAAGAAACUAACAAGGAUUCCCUCAGUAACGGCGAGUGAAGCGGGAAGAGCUCAAAUUUGAAAUCUUCAAGGUUCUACCUUGACGAAUUGUAGUUUAAAGAAGUGUUUUCUGUUGAAGUUUUGGUAAAAGUUCUUUGGAAUAGGACAUCAUAGAGGGUGAGAAUCCCGUAUUUGACCAUUAUUUCCAGCUGUGUGAUACACUUUCAAAGAGUCGGAUUGUUUGGGAAUGCAGUCCAAAAUGGGUGGUAAAUUUCAUCUAAAGCUAAAUAUUGGCGAGAGACCGAUAGCGAACAAGUACCGUGAGGGAAAGAUGAAAAGAACUUUGAAAAGAGAGUUAAACAGUACGUGAAAUUGUCAAAAGGGAAGCGUUUGACACCAGUGUUGUUUUUCCGAAAAUCAAUUAAAAAUGAUGGGAUGUUGUGUUGUAUUGACUUUAUCAGCUUUCUGCACUCUUUUUCCUAUCUUUUUUAAUGCACUUUUCGUUUAACAAGUCAACAUCAAUUUCUUUUGUUGUAAAAGAGUCAUUGGAAGGUGGCUUUCUUUUCGGAGAAAGUGUUUAUAGCCUUUGGCUUCUGCAAUCGGAGAGAUUGAGGUCUGCAGCGUAGAUCCUUCGGGGUUAGAUACAUUUGUGCUAAGUUAUAGCCUUUCAUAGACAACUUGUUGACUAUGAUCAGUCAUGUAGCUUACUCGCUUAUGCUAUUUUACCUACGCUUAGGAUGUUGACGCAUGAGAUAUACGC
This 774-nucleotide ribosomal RNA is filed under the name uncultured Neocallimastigales. RNAcentral's name for it is "partial large subunit ribosomal RNA". It matches the Rfam family "Eukaryotic large subunit ribosomal RNA", at positions 24 to 645 of the family's 3401-position model. The record is from RNAcentral. Lineage: Eukaryota; Fungi; Neocallimastigomycota; Neocallimastigomycetes; Neocallimastigales.